This 460-nucleotide ribosomal RNA is filed under the name uncultured bacterium. RNAcentral's name for it is "partial 16S ribosomal RNA". It matches the Rfam family "Bacterial small subunit ribosomal RNA", at positions 338 to 795 of the family's 1533-position model. The record is from RNAcentral.
CCUACGGGUGGCAGCAGUGAGGAAUAUUGGUCAAUGGACGAGAGUCUGAACCAGCCAAGUGGCGUGAAGGAUGACUGCCCUAUGGGUUGUAAACUUCUUUUAUAUGGGAAUAAAACGUUCCACGUGUGGGAUUUUGUAUGUACCAUAUGAAUAAGGAUCGGCUAACUCCGUGCCAGCAGCCGCGGUAAUACGGAGGAUCCGAGCGUUAUCCGGAUUUAUUGGGUUUAAAGGGAGCGUAGGUGGAUUGUUAAGUCAGUUGUGAAAGUUUGCGGCUCAACCGUAAAAUUGCAGUUGAAACUGGCAGUCUUGAGUACAGUAGAGGUGGGCGGAAUUCGUGGUGUAGCGGUGAAAUGCUUAGAUAUCACGAAGAACUCCGAUUGCGAAGGCAGUUCACUGGACUGCAACUGACACUGAGGCUCGAAAGUGUGGGUAUCAAACAGGAUUAGAUACCCCAGUAGUC